This 551-nucleotide ribosomal RNA is filed under the name Staphylococcus aureus. RNAcentral describes it as "bacterial SSU rRNA". It matches the Rfam family "Bacterial small subunit ribosomal RNA", at positions 1 to 534 of the family's 1533-position model. The record is from RNAcentral. Lineage: Bacteria; Bacillati; Bacillota; Bacilli; Caryophanales; Staphylococcaceae.
UUUAUGGAGAGUUUGAUCCUGGCUCAGGAUGAACGCUGGCGGCGUGCCUAAUACAUGCAAGUCGAGCGAACGGACGAGAAGCUUGCUUCUCUGAUGUUAGCGGCGGACGGGUGAGUAACACGUGGAUAACCUACCUAUAAGACUGGGAUAACUUCGGGAAACCGGAGCUAAUACCGGAUAAUAUUUUGAACCGCAUGGUUCAAAAGUGAAAGACGGUCUUGCUGUCACUUAUAGAUGGAUCCGCGCUGCAUUAGCUAGUUGGUAAGGUAACGGCUUACCAAGGCAACGAUGCAUAGCCGACCUGAGAGGGUGAUCGGCCACACUGGAACUGAGACACGGUCCAGACUCCUACGGGAGGCAGCAGUAGGGAAUCUUCCGCAAUGGGCGAAAGCCUGACGGAGCAACGCCGCGUGAGUGAUGAAGGUCUUCGGAUCGUAAAACUCUGUUAUUAGGGAAGAACAUAUGUGUAAGUAACUGUGCACAUCUUGACGGUACCUAAUCAGAAAGCCACGGCUAACUACGUGCCAGCAGCCGCGGUAAUACGUAGGUGG